GACGAACGCUGGCGGCGUGCCUAAUACAUGCAAGUCGAACGCACAGUUUAUACCGUAGCUUGCUACACCAUAGACUGUGAGUUGCGAACGGGUGAGUAACGCGUAGGUAACCUGCCUGGUAGCGGGGGAUAACUAUUGGAAACGAUAGCUAAUACCGCAUAAUAUUGAUUAUUGCAUGAUAAUUGAUUGAAAGAUGCUAUUGCAUCACUACCAGAUGGACCUGCGUUGUAUUAGCUAGUAGGUGAGGUAACGGCUCACCUAGGCGACGAUACAUAGCCGACCUGAGAGGGUGAUCGGCCACACUGGGACUGAGACACGGCCCAGACUCCUACGGGAGGCAGCAGUAGGGAAUCUUCGGCAAUGGACGAAAGUCUGACCGAGCAACGCCGCGUGAGUGAAGAAGGUUUUCGGAUCGUAAAGCUCUGUUGUAAGAGAAGAACGGGUGUGAGAGUGGAAAGUUCACACUGUGACGGUAGCUUAACAGAAAGGGACGGCUAACUACGUG
RNAcentral lists this ribosomal RNA (505 nucleotides) under uncultured bacterium. RNAcentral describes it as "partial 16S ribosomal RNA". It matches the Rfam family "Bacterial small subunit ribosomal RNA", at positions 28 to 507 of the family's 1533-position model. The record is from RNAcentral.